AGAGUUUGAUCAUGGCUCAGAUUGAACGCUGGCGGCAUGCCUUACACAUGCAAGUCGAACGGUAACAGGUCUUCGGAUGCUGACGAGUGGCGAACGGGUGAGUAAUACAUCGGAACGUGCCCGAUCGUGGGGGAUAACGAAGCGAAAGCUUUGCUAAUACCGCAUACGAUCUACGGAUGAAAGCAGGGGACCGCAAGGCCUUGCGCGAACGGAGCGGCCGAUGGCAGAUUAGGUAGUUGGUGGGAUAAAAGCUUACCAAGCCGACGAUCUGUAGCUGGUCUGAGAGGACGACCAGCCACACUGGGACUGAGACACGGCCCAGACUCCUACGGGAGGCAGCAGUGGGGAAUUUUGGACAAUGGGCGAAAGCCUGAUCCAGCCAUGCCGCGUGCAGGAUGAAGGCCUUCGGGUUGUAAACUGCUUUUGUACGGAACGAAAAGACUCUGGUUAAUACCUGGGGUCCAUGACGGUACCGUAAGAAUAAGCACCGGCUAACUACGUGCCAGCAGCCGCGGUAAUACGUAGGGUGCAAGCGUUAAUCGGAAUUACUGGGCGUAAAGCGUGCGCAGGCGGUUAUAUAAGACAGAUGUGAAAUCCCCGGGCUCAACCUGGGAACUGCAUUUGUGACUGUAUAGCUAGAGUACGGCAGAGGGGGAUGGAAUUCCGCGUGUAGCAGUGAAAUGCGUAGAUAUGCGGAGGAACACCGAUGGCGAAGGCAAUCCCCUGGGCCUGUACUGACGCUCAUGCACGAAAGCGUGGGGAGCAAACAGGAUUAGAUACCCCGGUAGUCCAA
Molecule: ribosomal RNA, 793 nt
Filed under: uncultured bacterium
Lineage: Bacteria
Description: bacterial SSU rRNA
Rfam family: Bacterial small subunit ribosomal RNA
Source: RNAcentral